RNAcentral lists this ribosomal RNA (443 nucleotides) under uncultured bacterium. RNAcentral's name for it is "partial 16S ribosomal RNA". It matches the Rfam family "Bacterial small subunit ribosomal RNA", at positions 338 to 795 of the family's 1533-position model. The record is from RNAcentral.
CCUACGGGAGGCAGCAGUGGGGAAUAUUGCACAAUGGGCGAAAGCCUGAUGCAGCAACGCCGCGUGAAGGAAGACGGUUUUCGGAUUGUAAACUUCUAUCAAUAGGGAAGAAAGAAAUGACGGUAACUAAAUAAGAAGCCCCGGCUAACUACGGGCCAGCAGCCGCGGUAAUACGUGGGGGGCAAGCGUUAUCCGGAAUUACGGGGUGUAAAGGGAGAGUAGGCGGCAAGGUAAGCGUUAUGUGAAAGCCUUAAGCUUAACUUAAGGAUUGCAUAACGAACUAUCUAGCUAGAGUACAGGAGAGGAAAGCGGAAUUCCGAGUGUAGCGGUGAAAUGCGUAGAUAUUAGGAAGAACACCAGUGGCGAAGGCGGCUUUCUGGACUGAAACUGACGCUGAGGCUCGAAAGCGUGGGGAGCGAACAGGAUUAGAUACCCCGGUAGUC